This is a long non-coding RNA of Canis lupus familiaris (dog), 708 nucleotides long. RefSeq lists it as uncharacterized. NCBI's taxonomy places the organism in Eukaryota, Metazoa, Chordata, Mammalia, Carnivora, Canidae. The transcript is spliced from 3 exons. The record is from RefSeq and is a predicted model, not a curated record.
CCAGCUAUAUGCUUGAAGCUUGCCCUAUGCCAGGUCCUUCAUUCUACUCUGCAUGCACUGUUCCAGAAGACCUUCUUUCACUGCAUGGCUGGCAACUACACAAACAAAAUGGGAGAUGACAACUAUACACUGUGGGAAAUGAACCAGACUGGCCUUUCAUUGUAAACAGGUACUCUGGAUGCUAAGGCCCAAAUAUAACAAUGGAAGACAGCAUCUGAGACAACAUUAUGAGGAAAGAGAAAGGUGGAAGUCUUUAUAUGUGUGAGCAUGUAAGCCUGAAAGAACUACAUAAACAAGUUUAUUUUUCUCAAGUCAACACACCCUCCCCCAGGAGACUUCUAACUGACAAAGGGGGCCUUUAAGGCAGAGAAUAAAAGUUAAACAGAAGGGCCCCAUAUGUAUUUCUGGGUUUUAAUAGAGAGGCAUGAAGUCUUGAGGGCCAGAUGGGAUACUAAUGUGAAAAAAAUUCAAUACUGGCUUCGACAGAAAUUGCUGUGGGAUAGGUCCUAAUCCAGCUCACAGCUAAUUAUGACUCUUAUGAAACUAUUGAAUCUGCUGCCCAAACCAGAAUAAUAUGUGCUAAGCCUAAACAUUUCAGGGAAACAUAUUACUUCUCUUAAGUUGAUCAUAUAUCUUUCAGAAUUUAGAGGUACAUUCAACAAAGCUUGUUGAUGCCUAGAAUAUGCCAGAUACAGAUCUCAAUGCUGG